GCCUGCCUCCCACCCUGCCUGCUGGCCCAGAGCCCUCCCCUGGAGGGCCACACAUCCUGUGGCCAGACAGCCCCGCAGAAGGCCGAGGGGACUGUGGGGCCGUCCGUCAAAUGGCCAGCUGCCCUUGGCCUCCUCCUAUGUUACUUCCCUGGACUGCAAGGGAGUGAGGGAACAACAACAAAACUGGAAGGAAUGACAGUUAAAAUACUAUAUGAGAAACUGGUGUA
Molecule: long non-coding RNA, 227 nt
Organism: Leopardus geoffroyi (Geoffroy's cat)
Lineage: Eukaryota; Metazoa; Chordata; Mammalia; Carnivora; Felidae
Exons: 2
Source: RefSeq, a predicted model, not a curated record